UAUCCUGUGAGGUCAUGUUGUCC
RNAcentral lists this non-coding RNA (23 nucleotides) under Rattus norvegicus (Norway rat). Lineage: Eukaryota; Metazoa; Chordata; Mammalia; Rodentia; Muridae. The record is from RNAcentral.